Molecule: long non-coding RNA, 430 nt
Filed under: Oryza brachyantha (malo sina)
Lineage: Eukaryota; Viridiplantae; Streptophyta; Magnoliopsida; Poales; Poaceae
Description: long non-coding RNA (OBRA_LNC002506)
Source: RNAcentral
ACCGGCGGUGGAGCUACCUUGGAAGUGCGUGCGUGCGUGCAUGCAUGCACUUCUUUCUCUCUUUUUUGUUCCACUACAGGUCACGUGUACAAAUAUUGUACGACGAGUUGUUGGUUCGAUGAAUCCAUGCUUUUUUGCUUGCGUUCUGCCCUUCGGUGUAGCCGCUACUUCAAAUGUCUAUAAUUAUUUUACAAAUUAGCUCGUAGCAUUUUUUAAUAUUAUGGAAUAAUCCAUAUUUAGUUUGAAUAAGUAAUAUUAGUAUAGUUAGUAAAAAAUUCUUAUAACAUUUUAUAAUACAUUUUCAUAGCAAAGUAUGUGUAUUUUACUAGUCUUAGAAAUGGACCUAAUAGGUCUCUUCGUGUAAACGGUUGUAAACUUUUUAAGACAAAAUAGAGCAUAGUGACGUACUACCUCUGACUGUUUAUUUGAC